GAGUAACCUGACCAUUUCAUACUUGAAGUGGAACGCCUCCUAACUGGACCGCGACGCCGGUCGAGCCAGGCCUAGUCCCUGUCCGUCCUCCAAAGCAUCGCGGAAAACGUUUUCUGUGCAAGACAAGCGCCCCCUUCAGAAACGAUUCAGAUCACUCAUGAGGCGCAUGGCUUCAACCUCGAGUAUAAAAGACACGGAUGAAGAAAGACGGGGAGGGCAUCGUUUUUAUUUCCUCACAUUGAAGUUUGGUGAUGGUAAAAAAUUAGCUCAAACUGAGAGUGAAAAUCUUCAAAGUCUACUGGGGAAAACUGAGAGAUGGCUCCCGUGAUCCUCGCGGCAAGAGAUGAAGGUGGCUGUGAUGGCAGAGAUGGAGAGAAGUGGAAGAGUUCACAGAGAUUCACUGACCUUGAUGACAGGCAAAGUGAGGCCAAGGGAAGAAUAUUCUUUCCAUAAUGUAACCAAAGAGCAGUCAACAAAGACAGGAGCAAGGCCUUGGUCUCCGGUGAGUAUGUAAGUGAAUUUAAGUGAGGUCGUCUUGUUACACUAAAUGGCCCCAGCCCCUCCUCUGUGUGACUGCUUGCUGCUCUGCACGUACUCUAAAAUAAUUCACAUGUUCUCCUCAUUUUUGGCCUCCACUUAUGCACGUGCUCCUCCGUAGCUUGAUAAAUUAAAACUUUGUUCUAUGAGUUUCUAUCCAGGAACAGGCUGACCACGGGUGGGAAACACACCUACAAGGUAUCCAUCACAGCUGACAGAAGAAUGAAACCAUGUGAUACCUGGAGCCCAUCAUGUGGGAAGACUAACAUCCCUGGAACACUCCCUCACUGCCCAUUUUUCCUAUAUAGCUACCUCAAGAGUCUGUAAUUUUUUUGUGUGUGUGUGAGGAAGAUUGGCCCUGAGCUAACAUCGGUGCCAA
Long non-coding RNA from Equus quagga, 916 nucleotides. RefSeq lists it as uncharacterized. The transcript has 3 exons. The record is from RefSeq and is a predicted model, not a curated record. Lineage: Eukaryota; Metazoa; Chordata; Mammalia; Perissodactyla; Equidae.